This 63-nucleotide non-coding RNA is filed under the name human gut metagenome. The record is from RNAcentral.
UAACAACGAACUGUGAGAAGUCAGCAGAGGUCAUAGUACCGCAGAGAAAAAAUGCGGAAAGGA